Molecule: ribosomal RNA, 1346 nt
Filed under: uncultured bacterium
Lineage: Bacteria
Description: bacterial SSU rRNA
Rfam family: Bacterial small subunit ribosomal RNA
Source: RNAcentral
AGCUACAGGCUUAACACAUGCAAGUCGAGGGGCAGCGGGAGCAAAGCUUGCUUUGCUUGCCGGCGACCGGCGCACGGGUGCGUAACGCGUAUGCAACCUACCCAAUGCUGGCGGAUAGCCCGGAGAAAUCCGGAUUAAGCCGUCAUGAGGAGCCUGUGGGGCAUCCCACGGGUUUCAAAUAUUCAUAGGCGUUGGAUGGGCAUGCGUGCUAUUAGAUAGUUGGCGGGGUAACGGCCCACCAAGUCGACGAUAGCUAGGGGAUCUGAGAGGACGGUCCCCCACACUGGUACUGAGACACGGACCAGACUCCUACGGGAGGCAGCAGUAAGGAAUAUUGGGCAAUGGGGGGAACCCUGACCCAGCCAUGCCGCGUGAAGGAUGGAGGCCCUACGGGUCGUAAACUUCUUUUGUCAGGGGAUAACAGACAGUACGCGUACUGUUUUGAAGGUACCUGAAGAAUAAGCAUCGGCUAACUCCGUGCCAGCAGCCGCGGUAAUACGGAGGAUGCGAGCGUUAUCCGGAUUUAUUGGGUUUAAAGGGUGCGUAGGCGGAAUGUUAAGUCAGCGGUGAAAGUUCCCGGCUCAACCGGGUCAGUGCCGUUGAUACUGAUGUUCUUGAAUGCGGUCAAGGUUGGCGGAAUGUGGUGUGUAGCGGUGAAAUGCAUAGAUAUGCCACAGAACUCCGAUAGCGAAGGCAGCUGACCGGACCUGCAUUGACGUUGAGGCUCGAAAGUGUGGGUAUCAAACAGGAUUAGAUACCCUGGUAGUCCACACGGUAAACGAUGAAUACUCGCUGUUGGCGAUAGACUGUCAGCGGCCAAGCGAAAGCAUUAAGUAUUCCACCUGGGGAGUACGCCGGCAACGGUGAAACUCAAAGGAAUUGACGGGGGCCCGCACAAGCGGAGGAACAUGUGGUUUAAUUCGAUGAUACGCGAGGAACCUUACCCGGGCUUAAAUUGCAGAGGACAGGCGCAGAGAUGUGCUCUUCUUCGGACCUCUGUGAAGGUGCUGCAUGGUUGUCGUCAGCUCGUGCCGUGAGGUGUCGGCUUAAGUGCCAUAACGAGCGCAACCCUUGCCGGUAGUUACCAUCAGGUUAUGCUGGGGACUCUACCGGGACUGCCAUCGUAAGAUGUGAGGAAGGUGGGGAUGACGUCAAAUCAGCACGGCCCUUACGUCCGGGGCUACACACGUGUUACAAUGGGAGGUACAGAAGGCUGCUACCCGGCGACGGGAUGCCAAUCCACAAAACCUCUCUCAGUUCGGAUUGGAGUCUGCAACCCGACUCCAUGAAGCUGGAUUCGCUAGUAAUCGCGCAUCAGCCACGGCGCGGUGAAUACGUUCCCGGGC